RNA transcript from Nomascus leucogenys (northern white-cheeked gibbon), 2462 nucleotides. It is a transcript of the gene named FASTK mitochondrial RNA regulator 3, with no coding region annotated. Lineage: Eukaryota; Metazoa; Chordata; Mammalia; Primates; Hylobatidae. The record is from RefSeq and is a predicted model, not a curated record.
AGGCCUAAGAUGCCCAGGCGCUUCCGCGGCCACCCGGAGAGAUUGGCCGGCAGAGCGCGUUAUCAAAUUGAGAAUCUGAUGGCAUGGCAUUAAUCACCUUGAGGAAGAACCUUUAUCGUUUAUCUGAUUUUCGGAUGCAUAGAGCUCUGGCUGCUUUAAAAAAUCAACCUCUAAAUCAUGUUCACAAGGUAGUCAAGGAGCGUCUGUGCCCUUGGUUCUGUUCACGACAACCUGAGCCUUUCAGAGUCAGAUUCCAUCACGCCCAUUGUAAAAAGUUUCAUUCGAAAAAUGGAAAUGACCUUCAUCCACUUAGUGGGCCAGUGUUCUCUCAAGUAUCUGACUGGGACAGGCUUGAACAAAAUGUUAAAAAUGAAGAGAGUCAGACGUUUUACAAGAGACUGAGCAACUUGACUUCAUCAGAAGAAGUGCUAAGUUUUAUAAGCACGAUGGAAACCCUGCCUGACACUAUGGCAGCAGGAGCUUUACAACGGAUUUGUGAAGUGGAAAAAAAGGAUGGUGAUCAAGGGCUGCCAAAAGAACUACUGGAGAAUAGCAUCUUUCAAGCUUUAUGCUUUCAGUUUGAAAAGGAGCCCUCACAGCUGUCAAACAGUAGUUUGGUGACUGCUUUGCAAGCUCUCAUUCUGUUGCAUGUGGAUCCUCAAAGUAGCCUGUUACUGAACCUGGUGGCAGAAUGCCAAAAUCGUCUCAAAAAAGGUGGCAUGGAAGUUCGCAAUCUUUGUAUUCUUGGGGAAAGUCUGAUUAGACUGCACAGUUCAGGUUGUGUGACACUAGAACUCAUUAUAAAUCAACUGCAAGGUGAAAAAUUGGAAACAUUUACCCCAGAGGAUAUUGUGGCCCUUUAUAGAAUCUUGCAGGCAUGUACUGAAAAAGUGGAUGAACACCAAACAUUUUUAAAUAAGAUAAAUAACUUUUCCCUUUCAAUAGUUUCCAACCUGAAUCCUAAAUUGAUUAGCCAAAUGUUAACGGCCCUGGUGGUUCUUGAUCAAAGUCAAGCAUUUCCUCUGAUUAUAAAAUUGGGCAAAUAUGUAGUGAGGCAUGUCCCGCAUUUCACUAACGAGGAGCUUAGGAGAGUCUUGGAGGCGUUCAUAUAUUUUGGGCACCAUGACACAUUUUUCACAAAAGCCCUAGAGCAUCAUGUAGCUGCGGUGUGCCUCACGUUGGAUCCUGAAGUUGUCUGCAGAGUCAUGGAGUACUGCAGUAGAAAACUGAUUCUUUCAAAACCCAUCCUCAAUGCAGUGGCAGAAACUUUUGUUUGCCAAACAGAAAAAUUUUCACCUAGUCAGAUUUCUGCAUUAAUGGAACCAUUUGGGAAACUCAAUUAUUUGCCACCAAAUUCCUCUGCUUUAUUUAGAAAGCUGGAAAACGUGCUAUUCACUCAUUUCAAUUAUUUUCCACCCGAAACAUUAUUGAAACUUCUUCAUUCAUGUUCACUUAAUGAAUGCCAUCCAGUCAACUUUAUGGCAAAAAUAUUCAAGCCUUCUUUCCUUCAACGGCUGCAAGGUAAAGAAUCUCAUUUGGACAAAUUGAGUCGGGCACAACUGACCCAACUUUUCUUAGCCUCAGUCCUGGAAUGCCCUUUCUAUAAGGGUCCAAAACUCCAUCCUAAAUAUCAAGUAAAGUCAUUUCUUACCCCAUGCUGUUCCCUGGAGACCCCUGUGGAUUCUCAGCUUUAUAGAUAUGUGAAGAUUGGGCUGAUUGACCUUUUAGGAGAAAGAUUAUAUUUUGCUCCAAAAGUGUUGACACCCUAUUGUUAUACAAUAGCCUUCACUCCAAUUGAUCAAUGCAAUGUGGAAGGAAUCAAAGCAAAGCAAAGGAAUGAAUACAGGAAGAUAGUGUUUGUGAGGGUAUCACACGACGAAUUUUUCCUUUCUUCUCUCACCAGAUGUUGAAAUUAAAUUAGAUGAAGAAGGAUUUGUAUUGCCAUCCACAGUUGAUGAAGAUAUCCAUAAAAGGAUAGCGCUGUGUAUUGAUGGUCCAGAAAGGUUUUGCUCCAAUAGCAAACACUUACUGGGAAAAGAAGCUAUUAAACAAAGACACCUACAGUUACUUGGUUAUCAAGUUGUUCAGAUCCCCUAUCAUGAGAUUGGGAUGCUAAAAUCAAGAUGUGAAUUGGUGGAAUAUUUACAAAGAAAACUGUUUUCUCAAAACACUGUUCAUUGGUGACAAGAAUGAAUACUGGCUUCAGAACUCAAAACAAUGAAAAAACUUGCAUUUUUAUGGAAUUCAGUAUUAAAAGAAAAAUAUGUGAAUUAGCCACUUUGCAGAAUAUGUUCUAGACUGGUGAUCUGAAAUCAUCUAUAGUUUUCUUUAUACUAUGUAUACAUUUAUUGUGGUAAAAUUUAAAAUUAAUUUUAAUACUAGUGUCAUAGAUACUUUUUAUACAUCAAACAACUGAUCAUGUGCAGUAAAGGAAUUCAAUGAAUAAAUGUGAUUUUAAAGUA